UGCGUAGGCGGAUUAAUAAGUCAGUGGUGAAAACCUGCAGCUUAACUAUAGACUUGCCAUUGAUACUGUUAGUCUUGAGUACGGUCAAGGUAGGCGGAAUGUGUAAUGUAGCGGUGAAAUGCUUAGAUAUUACACAGAACACCGAUUGCGAAGGCAGCUUACUGGGCCAUUACUGACGCUGAGGCACGAAAGCGUGGGGAGCGAACAGGAUUAGAUACCCUGGUAGUC
This 228-nucleotide ribosomal RNA is filed under the name uncultured bacterium. RNAcentral describes it as "partial 16S ribosomal RNA". It matches the Rfam family "Bacterial small subunit ribosomal RNA", at positions 568 to 795 of the family's 1533-position model. The record is from RNAcentral.